GGAGUCUGGUCCGUGUCUCAGUACCAGUGUGGGGGACCUUCCUCUCAGAACCCCUACCGAUCGAUGCCCCGGUGGGCCGUUACCCCGCCAACAACCUAAUCAGACGCAUCCCCAUCCCUUAGCGAUAAAUCUUUGAUUCACUUCAGAUGUCCUCGACGAAUAACAUAGGGGAUUAAUCCGACUUUCGCCGG
Molecule: ribosomal RNA, 191 nt
Filed under: uncultured Prevotella sp.
Lineage: Bacteria; Pseudomonadati; Bacteroidota; Bacteroidia; Bacteroidales; Prevotellaceae
Description: partial 16S ribosomal RNA
Source: RNAcentral